UCGCUACAACAGCCACCGUCUGAUUUUUGAGUUGAGGGCAAUCUCUGACUGAUGUUCCAACUCCUCAUACCGAUAAUAUCUGAUUUUGCUCAAGUUCCUUCUAGACUUGAACCGCCCUCAUCGCGAUCUCCUGUCGCUCUAUCUACCACCUCCUACUCCUUCAGAAGCCAUCAAAGUUGAGCUACCUCCAUCUGAGCUCGAAGCUGGAUUCUUUUUCCUAAGAAUCUCG
This 229-nucleotide long non-coding RNA is filed under the name Elaeis guineensis (African oil palm). Its description in RNAcentral is "long non-coding RNA (EGUI_LNC016542)". The record is from RNAcentral. Lineage: Eukaryota; Viridiplantae; Streptophyta; Magnoliopsida; Arecales; Arecaceae.